This 128-nucleotide transfer-messenger RNA is filed under the name Armatimonadota bacterium. Its description in RNAcentral is "partial transfer-messenger RNA". It matches the Rfam family "transfer-messenger RNA", at positions 1 to 127 of the family's 374-position model. From Rfam's summary of the family: Bacterial tmRNA, also known as 10Sa RNA or SsrA, is named for its dual tRNA and mRNA-like properties. Its role is to liberate the mRNA from a stalled ribosome. To accomplish this part of the tmRNA is used as a reading frame that ends in a translation stop signal. Lineage: Bacteria; Bacillati; Armatimonadota. The record is from RNAcentral.
GGGGGCGAUUGGUUUCGAUCGGGAGACUGAUCUCUUAGGUUGCAAGUCGAGGCACCGCUGGCCUCGCUAAAAAGCGGUAAAACCAUAAACGCGAAGAACACUUCUUUCGCCACAGCGCGUACCUCGUA